RNAcentral lists this transfer RNA (66 nucleotides) under Ironoquia dubia. Its description in RNAcentral is "tRNA-Arg". The record is from RNAcentral. Lineage: Eukaryota; Metazoa; Arthropoda; Insecta; Trichoptera; Limnephilidae.
AAAAAGGAAGCUAUAAUAGCAAUUAAUUUCGACUUAAUCUUUGAGUAUAAAUCUACUCCCUUUUUA